CCUACGGGUGGCUGCAGUGAGGAAUAUUGGUCAAUGGGCGAGAGCCUGAACCAGCCAAGUCGCGUGAGGGAAGACGGACCUAUGGAUUGUAAACCUCUUUUGUCGGGGAGCAAAAAGGCCUCGUGAGGCCACAAGUGAGAGUACCCGAAGAAAAAGCAUCGGCUAACUCCGUGCCAGCAGACGCGGUAAUACGGGGGAUGCGAGGGUUAGCCGGAUUUAUGGGGGUUAAAGGGUGCGUGGGCGGACUGGAAAGUCAGCGGGAAAAUCGGGCGGCUCAACCUCUUUCCGCCGUUGAAACUGUCGGUCUUGAGUGGGCGAGAAGUAUGCGGAAUGCGUGGUGUAGCGGUGAAAUGCAUAGAUAUCACGCAGAACUCCGAUUGCGAAGGCAGCAUACCGGCGCCCGACUGACGCUGAGGCACGAAAGCGUGGGUAUCGAACAGGAUUAGAUACCCGUGUAGUC
RNAcentral lists this ribosomal RNA (460 nucleotides) under uncultured bacterium. RNAcentral's name for it is "partial 16S ribosomal RNA". It matches the Rfam family "Bacterial small subunit ribosomal RNA", at positions 338 to 795 of the family's 1533-position model. The record is from RNAcentral.